GACGAACGCUGGCGGCGUGCUUAACACAUGCAAGUCAAACGGAAAGGCCCUGCUUUUGUGGGGUGCUCGAGUGGCGAACGGGUGAGUAACACGUGAGUAACCUGCCCUUGACUUUGGGAUAACUUCAGGAAACUGGGGCUAAUACCGGAUAGGAGCUCCUGCUGCAUGGUGGGGGUUGGAAAGUUUCGGCGGUUGGGGAUGGACUCGCGGCUUAUCAGCUUGUUGGUGGGGUAGUGGCUUACCAAGGCUUUGACGGGUAGCCGGCCUGAGAGGGUGACCGGCCAAAUUGGGACUGAGAUACGGCCCAGACUCCUACGGGAGGCAGCAGUGGGGAAUAUUGCACAAUGGGCGGAAGCCUGAUGCAGCAACGCCGCGUGCGGGAUGACGGCCUUCGGGUUGUAAACCGCUUUCGCCUGUGACGAAGCGUGAGUGACGGUAAUGGGUAAAGAAGCACCGGCUAACUACGUG
RNAcentral lists this ribosomal RNA (468 nucleotides) under uncultured bacterium. Its description in RNAcentral is "partial 16S ribosomal RNA". It matches the Rfam family "Bacterial small subunit ribosomal RNA", at positions 28 to 507 of the family's 1533-position model. The record is from RNAcentral.